UCUGCCCUGCGAUGCCCCAGGGCAGGGUGCUGACAUCUUGGUGCCAGAUACCACAGCACACCUUCAGGGGUCAAGUGGAAUCCAUGCCUCAAAAGGACCAGGAUUGUAAUGGGAGUUAAAGACAAGCUCUAUCACUGUGCAAGUGUAAGUACGUAAGAAGUAAGACAGUAACUACAUAGAUCAGCCCAGCUCGAGGGCUUCGGCGGAGGAGUGGGGGUAGUUCAGGCAGCGUCAGCACUACCACCGCUCGGCACGCUCGACUGUAACUGAAUUACCAAGCUUCCAGCUCCUAAACAAGAUUGCCUGGUCCGGUUGAAAAUGCUCAAUCUACACUUCCAAAGCAACUGGCGCUGCAGUAUUUUAUUGCAGUGUCCUUUGUUUAUUUUUAUAGCAGAUGCAGAAAUAUGCUUUCGCCUCACAGCUGGAAAUCCUGGGUUCUAUUUCCUGGCCAGGGUCUCUUCUGUGUGGAGUUUGCAUGUUCUCUGUGUGUCUGUGAGGGUUUCCUGUACAUCCAAAGACAUGCAGUCUGGCCAACUGGAGCUACUAAAAAGUGUCCUGUUUAGUGUGUGUGUGUGUGUACCCCAUGUUGGGCUUGUCCGGGAUGUUUCUUGCCUUUCGCCCAAUGAAUCAGACCCACCAUGACCCUGACCAAAAUAAAGUGAUGGUAAAAUAAAAUGGACAAUAAGUUUAUGAAGAAAUGAAGGAUCAUAUGCAGUGUAGUCAGAAUACAGUUAUAUACAUGUGUAUAUACAGGUAGUUCAGCCAUUAAAGUAUUGGACAAGGUUACUGGUUCAAUUACGGUCCGGGUCCUUUCUGUGUAGUUUCCGUGGCUUUCCUCGGGGAGAUCUGGUUUCCUCCCACAGUCCAAAGACAUGCAAGUGAGGUGAAGUGGAGAUACAGAAUUGUCUAAUCUUGUGUAAUAAGUAACUACUGUUUCUGUUAUGAAUGUAACUAAAGAGUGUAAAACAUGACGUUAAAAUCAUAAUAAAUAAACAAAAGUGUCAAA
Long non-coding RNA from Trichomycterus rosablanca, 1006 nucleotides. RefSeq lists it as uncharacterized. The record is from RefSeq and is a predicted model, not a curated record. Lineage: Eukaryota; Metazoa; Chordata; Actinopteri; Siluriformes; Trichomycteridae. The transcript has 3 exons.